CAGUCGCCGCGGUAAUACAGAGGGUGCGAGCGUUAAUCGGAUUUACUGGGCGUAAAGCGUGCGUAGGUGGUGGUUUAAGUCCGUUGUGAAAGCCCUGGGCUCAACCUGGGAAUUGCAGUGGAUACUGGGUCACUAGAGUGUGGUAGAGGAUAGUGGAAUUUCCGGUGUAGCAGUGAAAUGCGUAGAGAUCGGAAGGAACAUCUGUGGCGAAGGCGACUAUCUGGGCCAACACUGACACUGAGGCACGAAAGCGUGGGGAGCAAACAGGAUUAGAUACCCCUGUAGUCCCUGUCUCUUAUAC
This 301-nucleotide ribosomal RNA is filed under the name uncultured bacterium. RNAcentral describes it as "partial 16S ribosomal RNA". It matches the Rfam family "Bacterial small subunit ribosomal RNA", at positions 509 to 807 of the family's 1533-position model. The record is from RNAcentral.